Molecule: small nucleolar RNA, 144 nt
Filed under: Myotis davidii
Lineage: Eukaryota; Metazoa; Chordata; Mammalia; Chiroptera; Vespertilionidae
Description: Small nucleolar RNA SNORA49
Rfam family: Small nucleolar RNA SNORA49
About the family: The snoRNA ACA49 has no identified RNA target. NB genomic sequence 1-nt different from published.
Source: Rfam by way of RNAcentral
AACACUCAGAAUGAACAUAGUGAGAGUGACAUUAUUAUUAGAAUAACUUUGAAUUGGCAUUGCCUGGGGGUACAUGAAAAAGCACAGAUCCCUCCCCAGGAAGACACUGUUUUGUGUGUGGAGCCUACGAAUUGGGCUGACAAC